ACAUGGGUGUAUGUGCACGUGUGCCUGAUUUCAUGUGAUUGCAGAUGCAGGGGCGCACUGAAGGGUACGGUUACACGUGCGUGUGAUUUUGUGUGCAAUGUGUGCCUGUGCCUCUGCAGGCUGCCGGUGACCAGCACAUCGAGCCACGGCUGGGGUACAGCCGUGCGAUCGGCUUGACUGCACAAAUACAAACAGCAAAUUGUGCAGCAGGCUUUCCACCGCGGGGCCAAACAAACACGAUGAGACAGAAAAUGGCCAAAGGGAUUUCUCUGAAAUAUCGGCUGACAAAGGAUCCUUUUAUUUGGCUGCCCAGGCCUCAGAAUUACCAAGAGAGUCAGCACUUCGGCUCAGAAGGGCAGGUUAAUGUUUAAUACAACGCAGAGCCCACAGGCUUCAAAUAGGAAAAGGAUGAGUACAACCAGCAAACUCAUGGGGGAUCUCCUUUGCUACUGCUGCCCACAAGCAGGAUGCUCAGCUGGAGAAGCCACUUCAACCUUUAGACCUCAUCCAACACGUCACACAUCUUCUCAAAUGUUGCAGAACCAAAAUGUUCAGGUGGUUAUUUGCCCUAAAAUACUAGUAAGAAUUCUUAAUUUCCCUUUUUAUCAUUACUUACCAUAAGAAGUGCUACCCAACAACAAAACCCAAGAUUUUCAAGUGCCAUCAUGUUGGAUUUUCCAGUUUGAGGAACAGUAAAAGAGGUCAGUCAUCAUUACAGCUGUGUCCUUAUUCAAAGCAGAACACUUUAUACAGUUGUACAGUGCAUUUUGGCCUCAACUUCAGCCAGCAUUCAGUAUGGGAGAGCUUGGGGCUCUUCUGGUCUGGGCAAAGGGCCAGAAAGUGAUUCUGAACAGAAAAAGCAAGCAAAGUCCAUUCUAAUUUCUGAGCAUGCCAGGUGAAAUAUAAAAGUAAGUCAAUUAAAAUACAAAGCUCUGAUUCAGUUUUAAAGUAUCCGUUCCACUGUGACAUUAGCAAUUAGUUACAGUAAACCAGGCAAGAGAACUUAUCUUUAUUUUGGUUGUGUUCUUCUCAGAAGGACAAUCCCUGCCUCAGCCAGCUGCCCACAUGCAGCACAGCUCAUACAAAGGAUCACGUGUGAGCUGGGAUCGUGGAGUGGGUCACAGCAGAAGUCCAUCUCCCCCCAGUUCAUAGGAGGUGCCAGAGCCUUGUUCUGAGCUGCUGUGAAGCAGUCUGCUCCCAAAUUCAUCCUCUGAUCAGAGCUGGCCGCAGAUCCCUUCUCACAGUUCCCAGGCAUGCUGCACCCUUCGGCCACCAUCCAGCUUUUUGUGGCUGAGUCUCCUCCAGCUCUUCCUCUCCAAAACCAUGUUAAAGUCUUUUAAAGGACCCCGAGCAUCACUGAGAGCAAAAGAAAGGGAAAGCUGACCAUUCCCCUCCUCCUUCCCUGGCUACCCCAGCCAGCGGCACUGCCAACUCCCAACACAUCCUGACCAUAUAUUUAGUCUGCAGCAAUUUGCUUGGCAUUGUCUCACGCGGGUUCCAAGCGCACGGAUUACACAUCCAGCAAGGCAUCCAGCAGCCUCACCAAGGGCCUGUCAUUUCAGCGAUUCAGCUCAUCACGAUGCUGCUGCCAGAGGCUGAGACACUGCCUGGUCCAGGGCACAGCUAUGAGACAGAGGAGGCAAAUGGCAAGUCAGGGAGACCACCCCAAAUCCACAUCUGACAGUGUACAGAGCAGGGCGAGAGAUGCAUAACCCUUGCUCACAUGGGCACUGCCCCAAGUCCUCUCUCCAGUUUGGGGUAGAAAUUGGCCAGAACUCAGCAGCAGAGCCGCCAGUGUCCCUAGCCCGAGACCUACAUCCCCAAACCAGCACGCUGCAGGUGAGACUAGCCUGGGGAAAGCGAGAGCUGAUCUGCAGGAACAGGAUAUGCUGAUCCUGAAGACAGCUCUUCUCUCAACACUGCUCCAUAUGCAAUCAGAACCGUAAUCCCUGCCUGGGGCUGAAAGCUUCUCCUCUGUACUUCCCAAGCACUUAAAGGCAGCGCAGUCAGCAAUGGGCACCCAGGCAUUUGUGCGCCACAAAUGAGGCGCACGCACAGAAGGAAAGGCCACAGCCCCCGGAGACUCAGCAACCGCUUGCACCUCUGGAAAUAGAGGAGGGAAGGAGUCGUCAGGAGAGAAACCCUGGAAAAAAA
Long non-coding RNA from Oxyura jamaicensis (ruddy duck), 2154 nucleotides. RefSeq lists it as uncharacterized. Lineage: Eukaryota; Metazoa; Chordata; Aves; Anseriformes; Anatidae. The transcript is spliced from 2 exons. The record is from RefSeq and is a predicted model, not a curated record.